UACGUAGGGUGCGAGCGUUGUCCGGAAUUACUGGGCGUAAAGCGUGUGUAGGUGGUUAGAUAAGUUAGAUGUGAAAUCCCCGGGCUUAACCUGGGCACUGCGUUUAAGACUGUUUAACUAGAGUACUGUAGAGGAUAGUGGAAUUUCCAGUGUAGCGGUGAAAUGCGUAGAUAUUGGAAGGAACACCAGUGGCGAAGGCGACUAUCUGGACAGAUACUGACACUGAGACACGAAAGCGUGGGGAGCAAACAGG
This 253-nucleotide ribosomal RNA is filed under the name uncultured bacterium. RNAcentral describes it as "partial 16S ribosomal RNA". It matches the Rfam family "Bacterial small subunit ribosomal RNA", at positions 524 to 776 of the family's 1533-position model. The record is from RNAcentral.